UCAGGCCUAUCUCAUGCAAGUCGAACGGUAUCGGGCCUUCGGGUGUUGACGAGUGGCGAGCGGGUGAGUAAUGUAUCGGAACGUGCCCAGUAGUGGGGGAUAGCCCGGCGAAAGCCGGAUUAAUAGCGCAUAUGACAUUCGGGUGAAAGGGGGGGAUCGCUAGACGCUCUCGCUAUUGGAGCGGCCGAUAUCAGAUUAGGUAGUUGGUGGGGUAAAGGCAUGCCAAGCCUGUGAUCUGUAGUUGGUCUGAGUGGAUGUCCAGCUACACUGGGAGUGAGACACGGCCCAGACUCCUUCGGGAGGCAGCAGUGGGGAAUUUUGGUCAAUGGGUUCAAGCCUGAUCCAAAGGUGCCGCGUGCAGGAAGAAGGCCUUCGGGU
Molecule: ribosomal RNA, 378 nt
Filed under: uncultured bacterium
Lineage: Bacteria
Description: bacterial SSU rRNA
Rfam family: Bacterial small subunit ribosomal RNA
Source: RNAcentral